AAACAUCGCCUCCUGCUGAAAUAUAGUAGGUACAGCCUGCCCAGUGACCCGUUUAACGGCCGCGGUAUCCUAACCGUGCGAAGGUAGCGUAAUCACCUGUUUUUUAAUUAAAGACCUGUAUGAAUGGCACCACGAGAGUCACACUGUCUCCUUUUCCCAAUCAGUGAAACUAAUCCCCCUGUGAAAAAGCAGGGAUAACUAUACAAGACGAGAAGACCCUUUGGAGCUUCAGACAAUAUGAUGACCUCUUCCCUAACAACCUCAUCACUAGUCUUCGGUUGGGGCAACCACGGAAGAAUAAAAAAACCUCCGAGAUGAGCAACCUAACAAAAAGCCACACCUUUAAGUAUCAAAACCGACAUCAAUUGACCCAAUACUUUGACCAACGAACCAAGUUACCCAAGGGAUAACAGCGCAAUCCACUUCAAGAGUCCCUAUCGACAAGUGGGCUUACGACCUCGAUGUUGGAUCAAGAUAUCCCAGUGGUGCAGCCGCUACUAAUGGUUCGUUUGUUCAACGAUUAAAAUCUCACGUGAUCUGA
This 541-nucleotide ribosomal RNA is filed under the name Diasporus sp. AB1065. Its description in RNAcentral is "partial 16S ribosomal RNA". It matches the Rfam family "Bacterial large subunit ribosomal RNA", at positions 1811 to 2608 of the family's 2925-position model. The record is from RNAcentral. Lineage: Eukaryota; Metazoa; Chordata; Amphibia; Anura; Eleutherodactylidae.